RNAcentral lists this ribosomal RNA (253 nucleotides) under uncultured bacterium. RNAcentral's name for it is "partial 16S ribosomal RNA". It matches the Rfam family "Bacterial small subunit ribosomal RNA", at positions 524 to 776 of the family's 1533-position model. The record is from RNAcentral.
UACGGAGGGGGCUAGCGCUGUUCGGAAUUACUGGGCGUAAAGCGCACGUAGGCGGCUUUGUAAGUUAGAGGUGAAAGCCCAGGGCUCAACCCUGGAAUUGCCUUUAAGACUGCAUCGCUUGAACAUCGGAGAGGUAAGUGGAAUUCCGAGUGUAGAGGUGAAAUUCGUAGAUAUUCGGAAGAACACCAGUGGCGAAGGCGACUUACUGGACGAUUGUUGACGCUGAGGUGCGAAAGCGUGGGGAGCAAACAGG